RNAcentral lists this long non-coding RNA (808 nucleotides) under Danio rerio (zebrafish). RNAcentral describes it as "si:ch73-234i15.6 (ENSDARG00000095672.3)". The record is from RNAcentral. Lineage: Eukaryota; Metazoa; Chordata; Actinopteri; Cypriniformes; Danionidae.
AUAGAUGCAUAUGAGGAAGCUCGACUCAAACAUCCAUACGCAACUGUGAUUUCUGACUGGUAGACAGAUGAGGAUGAUGAUCGCCUGUCAUACAUCUAAAGACAGAACAGGACAGUAUAGACACAUCUAUACCAUGAUGAAGAAAAAUUACUUGGAACAAAGAGGCUGGAUAAAAGGCAGCACGACUGACUGAAGUUUUAAAAUCAUGCAACGUCAUAAAGCAGCAGCUGGGCCUGAUUCUCACAAAACCAAAACAGACGUGAUGAAAUUCCAGAUGUGAACACAUUUGACCUUCCUUUGGCCAAUUUGAUUUGGAAAAGCUUGAAAAUCAACUAAAGGAGCAGCCCGAACAAAUGAAGAAACUGAUGGAGUGAGGACAAAUGUUCAUACCACGCCACUGAUAAAGAAGUGGAAAAAUGCAUUACAAGGUAGCUACAACUCGCCCUGACAGGGAUGGAGGAAGAAAGAAGAGAAAGCUAAUGUGUCAAAUGUCUACAUCACUAUUUUGUUUUAUUUUUUUUAAACAACAUUUUAAGUGUAUUAGGAUGUUCCCUGAUACUUGAACAAUUUGUUUCUUUCAUUUGCAUUUAUAUAUAUAUAUAUGUAUAUGUAUAUAUAUAUGUGUGUGUGUGUGUGUGUAUAUAUAUGUAUGGUAUGUAUGUGUGUGCGCCAAAUUCUGAAGAAAGAAACAUCUUGAUACAUUUUUAAUAAACGUAAUACAAAUAAAAUUAUAAAUAUAAAAUUGCACAAGACGUGUGUAUAUAUGAAAUGUAUAUGUUUGUGCAAUUGAUUUUGUUCAAGUUUAUUU